AGUGAACGCUGGCGGCGUGCUUAACACAUGCAAGUCGAACGAGAACGGGUUAUAGCUUGCUAUAAUUGUCAGCUAAGUGGCGCACGGGUGAGUAAUGUAUAGGUAAUAUGCCUCUUACUAAGGGAUAACAAAUGGAAACGCUUGCUAAUACCUUAUACUCCUUAUUAACAUAAGGUAAUAAGGGAAAGAUUUAUUGGUAAGAGAUUAGCCUGUAUUGUAUCAGUUAGUUGGUGGGGUAAUGGCUUACCAAGACUAUGACACAUAACUGGUUUGAGAGGAUGAUCAGUCACACUGGAACUGAGACACGGUCCAGACUCCUACGGGAGGCAGCAGUGGUGAAUAUUGCACAAUGGACGAAAGUCUGAUGCAGCAACGCCGCGUGGAGGAUGACACAUUUCGGUGCGUAAACUCCUUUUAUAUGAGAAGAUAAUGACGGUAUUAUAUGAAUAAGCACCGGCUAACUCCGUGCCAGCCGCCGCCGUAA
Molecule: ribosomal RNA, 484 nt
Filed under: uncultured bacterium
Lineage: Bacteria
Description: partial 16S ribosomal RNA
Rfam family: Bacterial small subunit ribosomal RNA
Source: RNAcentral